Molecule: long non-coding RNA, 213 nt
Filed under: Physcomitrium patens
Lineage: Eukaryota; Viridiplantae; Streptophyta; Bryopsida; Funariales; Funariaceae
Description: long non-coding RNA (PPAT_LNC009761)
Source: RNAcentral
AAUCAAAUUUCAAUAAAAUCCUAAAUAAAUUCUAAUCAAAUCUCAGUAUAAUCCUAAAUAAAUUCUAAUAAUUUUUUUAAAAAAUAUCAACCAUAUCUUAAUCAAACCUUAAAUCCUAAUCAAAUUCUAAACAAAUAUUAAUGAAAUCCUAAACCAACCAUAACCAAAUUUCAAUGUAAUCCUAAAUAAAUCUUAAAUCCUAACUAAAUCUCA